UUAAGCACUUUAAGAACAAUAAGAAAUCAUGUUAGCAGCUUGAUUGGAAAAAAGGAAAAAGAAAUUCAUGUUUGCAUUAUUAGUCUUACAAAUGAAACGGCUCGAGAAAGAAAAAGAAAAUCAUCACUUUUUUAAAAGAAAAAUAUAAGACACACAGAGUGUUUCUCCGAAAAUUGCAUGUAACAAUAUUUAUGAUCCCUAUUGAUGUUUCAACUCACCACUUAACCACCAACUCCAAAUGAGUUAGGACCUGUAUCAUGUCAUAAUUAAAGCAGGAAAUUACUAUGCAUGUAUAAAGAAAAAAAAAUAAAAAUACACCAUGUGAAAGGGGAUGUAUGAAGCAUCAUAGAGGAAGAAUAUAGAGAAGUAUGUAAGAAGCAACAUAGUUAAAUUACUUAUCUGAAUUAUUCAAUGGUAGAAAAUUCAUUCAACAACUUUUUUCAAACAACCACCUUUUUUCAUUUACCAUGUUAAUUAUACAAACCAGGUCCAUGGAGUUAAAAGGUUAUGAAUAGAAAAACAAAAAUACGACAGCAUUUCCAAUUUCGACCACCACCUGCCUAUACAUGGUUCAAAAAAGGUAGUAAUACUAUUAGUUACUUGAAUUUUGCCUUUAAUGAAAAAGCUUGUUCAGCCAAAACGAUAGAGUUGUGGAGAAUGAGAGGAGGCUUUGGAAUGCAUCUUUGAUAGGCUUCCACCACUUGUUUAGGCUGAUUUCAGUUCUCUGAGAGAAACACAUGAAAAAAUAGGGUGCUCUGCUGCUUGCAAAUAAUGGCAAGCUACACUGCCUCAAGAAAUAGUGCUUCACUCUUGGAAAAAGAGAGACAUACCUGGGAAUUUUGAGAAAUUAGGCAACAUUUGUGGAACACAUAAAAAAAUGAAAAUGACAGCAGCAAAGUUAUAAGUUCUUCAGCAAUGAACAAGUUCGUUUACUCUAAAUUUUCUUAGCCCUUUCGCCUAACUGUGGAUGGACUCCACCACAUAGGAGGCAAAUAUAAUAUAGGAAAACAUAAAUGGAAUUUGCUAAAAGCACCAAAUUUUGAUACUCCUCAUGUAUAAGACUGCUUAAAUAAUCUGAAACUUGACUAUCGAAUUGAGAUGCAGUGUAGAAUUUAGCACUUUCUUAAUUCCAUAACUUGUUUGUCAUAGCAUAGGAAUAUAGUCUCGAAGUUCUGCUCAUUCAGAGCCUCAAUUAGAAUUCAAGGAAAAUCAAUCAUGGAAAUCAUAAUUUUUAACAAAUACUAAAAGUAAUUGAGGUCAACUAACCAAAAAUACUAUGAUUGAAUAGUAAAAAUAUUUAUGAUGUAUAUAUAGCAAAAUUCUCUACGUGCAGUGAGAGGUUAUAAGUGAAAAAAAGCAACAAUUAAGUUUUGAUUGUUAGUACACAGUUUUGUGGUACUUAUUUUCCUUUCUGGGUAUGAAAGAGGCAAUGGGCAUACCAAAUCCUGCACAAAUAACAUAUAAACAUCAUGUCAGCAUCUUUCAACCAUAGUUUUUUUAUUUUUUUGUUAAAUGAAUCUUUCAGUUAUAGUUCUCCAUAAUUGAACACAAAAGAUGACCGCAACAUUCAAAUUUUAGAAGUUUUAUCAUUACAAACAUAAAUACCUAGCUAAUUACAAGCUGAUGCUGGAAAAAGAUCAAAAGUACCAAGGCCAACAAAGAGAAGAUCAGACAGUGAAUCUACAAUGCACCAGCAAGUGUAAAGGAAAUAAUAGGCACGGUUAAAAGUACUUCCAGGACCGGAGUAUCCAUAUUCUUUUAGAAUGGUAUAAUAACUCAAUCAUCGACCAGUAUGCAUUCCCCCUCAGAUCUCCAAACUUUGAGACCUCUAAGAGAACUAUGUCCUUUGAGGCAAUGCUGGCUAAAUUUGUGCAUAAUCAAAAAAGAAUCAAAGGCAGCAAUGGAUGCACUUGAGCGCAUGUUUUUGCCAACAAAUUGCUCAAUUAUAACUGAUUCUCUUUGAAGCCCAUGAGUUUGUCAAAUACAACAAUUAUCUUUACAUCUUCAACACAGGCUUCCGAAGGCCAUGAGGAUGAUGCUCAUAUUUCUUCCAAGAGUUGUGCUAAGACGAUAUCGGAGAACAAUAAAAUCAUAGAGGCAACAUUUAGAAAAGAGAAAAACCAGGCAAAAGACACAAAUGGAACACGUGUCAACUACUAAGCUAUUUUGAAGAGCACUGAAAAUUCUUGAUUCGCGCAUCACAACUCUUAUUAUGAGAAUCCAUCCUAUUUUCGAAUUAUUUUCGAAUUAAUUUUUAUAGAUGUUGCUGUCCUGCAGUAACGACCACUAUAAUAGAAGAAGCUAUAAUAAUCACCAAACUAAUUUUUCUGAACUAUAUAAAAGCACCAAAAGUAUAGUUGGCAGCAAAGGAACGGGUUACUGCAGGUUCUAUCUACUUCUGUUCAUCAUAUUCACCAGUUCUUAACAACCACGACAUCUGUAACAAUAAUCUACAGACCCUUAAUUUGAAAAGAAAGUUGCUUUUGACCUCCGGUGUUUUCAAUCAUCUGCUGAGAUUUCUCUUGAACAUCCAAGACUAAUUGGUCAUUAAAGAACAUAGAUGAUACUCUUAUGUAAUAAAAUUAAUAGCAGACACAUGCAACUUGGUAUCGUCUGUGAAAAUGAGCAAAUAAGUAGCAUACAUAAAGUUAGGAAGUUUUAAAUAAACAAGGAAGUUUGUUGAACUUCAUGUACUCUAUUGAUAAAGCAGACAUUUUUAACCCUGAUGCAGCAUCUAACUGUCAGAUUAAACUAAAAAAGAGAGCUCAUAUACUUGUAAGAUAGUACUAACAAAUAACAAACUUCCUGCAUAACCCAUUUUUUCGAUCAUUCCCUUUAAAACUUGACAUAGUGUUGGUCUGGCCUGAAGAAGUCGACAUUUGUCUUUUCAGUAAUUGGAUAUUUAUUUUGGAAAGCUUCCCUAAGAGACUGUCUCCUAGUUAAAAAAUAAAUGAAUCUACACUUACAAAUAAUAAUAAGUAGAAGCAGCCAAGUUCCAUCUCCCAUGCAUGCUGAAAGAAACAACAAAAAGAACCAACAAAAAAAGGACAGAUAUCAUAUCUGAUUCAAAUGUCAAACAUUUCCUAAAGUUUGAGGGAAAGACAUUGUAUCCGAUUUCCAGUGGAAGGGUAAACUGUCUUUGUUUAGAAUCACUUCCCUUCAACUUUCACUAAUGAAAGUUCCUUGCAAAAUCAUCAAAAUCGAUUAAAUUCACCCAUGUAAUUUCUAGUAGUCAACUAAAAUCGGAAGAGGGUACCAAAAUGCCUUUGUUGCUACAAUUGAUUAAGGUCCAUCCAAGCUAACUAAACGGGUCUAGUUUUCUGUUUCAGUGAAAUUUUGUUAGGAGAGUCUUCACUAAUUACUCUACAUGAAGCAAAUACCCCUUUAAGCAAACUGACACAAGAAAGGAAGGAUGUAUGACAUCCACAACGUCGUUAUCUUUAAACCCCCCAAAAUCAGAAACAAAAAAACAUGCACCUAAGUAUUUCUUUCCAAAUAUACAUAUCAAAAUAAUAUGAAAUUCCAAACAUGCAUGUACAAAAUGUAGUAAAAAUUAUUCAAAAACAAUAGAAAAAUCAACAUCGAACAAAAAAUGGACAUAAUUUUCAAAGAAAUUCAAAAGAGAAAGUCAGAACACGGGCCAAGAAAGAAAGAACAGGGGAGAAAACUUACCAGACUUAAAACACAUUAGAGGCUAGAAGAUUGUAGCAAACAGAAUGUAAAAUCAGAAAAAGUCAAAAUGUAUGAAAGAAUUUUGAAAAAAAAAACCCAGAGGAAUUUAAAAACUCACCUUGAACUGUUGAAUAAGUAAGAAGGUUGGGGUGAACAUUGAAAGAGAGAGAAUUAGAGGGGUGAAUAGAUGGAAAAAUAUAGAAAUACAGUGUAUCUGAAAUAGUGAAAUCCAUGUGGCUUGCUAAAGCAAAAAGUGUAAUCCACGUGCUAAUUCGCCAAUAAGGUAGGCCCAAAUAUAUAGUACCAUUUACAGUGCCUUUUGUACAGCUAAAGAAUGCAAUGUUCGUACACCUAAACUGCCACUUCUAAAUUAUACUAGCAGGGCUUGCCCGUGCAUCGCAACGGGCCCAAUGGGAGCAAUUUUUUUUCAAACAUCUAACAUUAUGAAUAUUUUAGAACUAUACUACAAACAAUAGUUGAUGCUUGUCACCUCAGAUUACUACAAAUAACCAUCAGUUUUGCUUGCUUAAACAUCUGGAAACAAUGUUCUUUUUUUGGGCCGAUAUGCAUUGUUCUUAAGUAAAACAUAGCCUUGACAUUACUGAAGCUAAGGUUCUCAACCACUUUGGUAUUUCUGAUAAAGUUCUCUGCGCAAUUAGAUCUCUUUCGACCUCACAACUUUUUCAUUGGCAAUUGGAAUAGCAAGUGGAUGAAUGUGUUCAUCCAGUAUCAUUAAAAAGUGAUCUAACAUAUGUGGUGCCACAAAUAUGUAUUCACGAUCCAAAAUGAUCCUACUACCCCUAUUAUAACCAAAAAUCUUAUUAACUUCAUUUUUACUGGUUCUUUGAAAGGCCAAUAUACAAUGAAUGUACACUAAAAUACCACAAGCUUAGUAAAUAGACUACCUAAUUUUCAAAUGAAAAUACCACAUAUCAUUACAAUACCAUAUCAUUCAUCAAGCUAGUAUUAUUUUUUUUAUCUUAAAGUAAAAGCUUACAAAAGAGAUGUAAGGUGUAAUCCGGUGCAAACAAAAAGCCUAGAGUAGCUAAUGCUUAUCUCAAGGUGAUCUUUCUUCUCAUAUGAGAGGUACUAAAAAGAGAAGACAUACAACUCAUUUAACAGGUAACAAUGUUGAGUUGUCAUGGACCUUCUCUAUAUUUUACAUUUAGGAUGAGAAAUAUGGCAAGUGGACCAGGUUAACUCCUACAAAAUCUGGAAUAUUCAAACGAAGAGNNN
RNAcentral lists this long non-coding RNA (4908 nucleotides) under Nicotiana tabacum (common tobacco). RNAcentral's name for it is "long non-coding RNA (NTAB_LNC004151)". Lineage: Eukaryota; Viridiplantae; Streptophyta; Magnoliopsida; Solanales; Solanaceae. The record is from RNAcentral.